RNAcentral lists this ribosomal RNA (514 nucleotides) under uncultured soil bacterium. Its description in RNAcentral is "bacterial SSU rRNA". It matches the Rfam family "Bacterial small subunit ribosomal RNA", at positions 26 to 529 of the family's 1533-position model. The record is from RNAcentral.
AGAGUGAACGCUGGCGGUAGGCCUAACACAUGCAAGUCGAACGGCAGCACAGUAAGAGCUUGCUCUUAUGGGUGGCGAGUGGCGGACGGGUGAGGAAUACAUCGGAAUCUACCUUCUCGUGGGGGAUAACGUAGGGAAACUUACGCUAAUACCGCAUAAGACCUUCGGGUGAAAGCCGGGGACCUUCGGGCCUGGCGCGGAUAGAUGAGCCGAUGUCGGAUUAGCUUGUUGGCGGGUAAAAGCCCACCGAGGCUACGAUCCGUAGCUGGUCUGAGAGGACGAUCAGCCACACUGGAACUGAGACACGGUCCAGACUCCUACGGGAGCAGCAGUGGGAAUUUUGGACAAUGGGCGCAAGCCUGAUCCAGCCAUGCCGCGUGAGUGAAGAAGGCCUUGGUUGUAAAGCUCGUUUCGGUGGGACGAAACGGUUCGUGACUAAGUACCACGGACUAAGUGACGGUACCGAAGAAGAAGCACCGGCUAACGUACGUGCCACGCAGCCGCGGUAAUCGUA